Molecule: ribosomal RNA, 443 nt
Filed under: uncultured bacterium
Lineage: Bacteria
Description: partial 16S ribosomal RNA
Rfam family: Bacterial small subunit ribosomal RNA
Source: RNAcentral
CCUACGGGUGGCAGCAGUGGGGAAUCUUUGGCAAUGGGCGCAAGCCUGACCCAGCAACGCCGCGUGAAGGAAGAAGGCUUUCGGGUUGUAAACUUCUUUUCUGAGGGACGAAGAAAGUGACGGUACCUCAGGAAUAAGCCACGGCUAACUACGUGCCAGCAGCCGCGGUAAUACGUAGGUGGCCAGCGUUAUCCGGAUUUAUUGGGUGUAAAGGGCGUGUAGGCGGGAAAGCAAGUCAGAUGUGAAAACUCAGGGCUCAACCCUGAGCCUGUAUUUGAAACUGUUUUUCUUGAGUGCUGGAGGGGCAACCGGAAUUCCGUGUGUAGCGGUGAAAUGCGUAGAUAUACGGAGGAACACCAGUGGCGAAGGCGGAUUGCUGGACAGGAACUGACGCUGAGGCGCGAAAGCGUAGGGAGCAAACAGGAUUAGAUACCCGAGUAGUC